RNAcentral lists this long non-coding RNA (1709 nucleotides) under Macaca mulatta (Rhesus monkey). RNAcentral describes it as "lncRNA (ENSMMUG00000064865.1)". The record is from RNAcentral. Lineage: Eukaryota; Metazoa; Chordata; Mammalia; Primates; Cercopithecidae.
GGCCCCCGCCUACAGGACUCGCUCCUGCCAGCCAAGGACUCGAGAAGGAGGGAGUCCCCAGUCCCGGCGGGGCGCCUGGGAUUCGGUUCAGUAUUUAGCACAGUCAGUACCGAAGCAGGGGCAGCCAGGUGGGAGCUGAGCGCCCCAGAGGUGGACCCCAAUCAGCAGCGAGUGGGCAGCUGGGGCCCGGCUCGCCCGCGCCCGCGCCCCGGAGCUCUCCGGCAGUCUCUCUGCACCCCGAAGCUGGGGAGCCGGGGGCGCUCUCCCGGGCCGCAAGCAGGCACAGAAUUUGACGCCUGGAGAGGCAGCUGGUCCUGGCUAGGACUCCUGAUUCUUCACAGAUGGAAACAAUUUCUCCCGGUGAACCUGCCGGAAUUCCCAGUGGACUCGCACUUCAGCUUUGCCCACUGGCGCAUUUAACCAAGGCCGCAUUUACCGCUUUGAGGCAAAUCUGAGUUUCAAAUGGAGCGGGACUUCUGGUUGCAGAAUGAGGUUCAUGAAAUUUUCAGGAAUUAAAGUUAGUCCUGAGGAAAGUUCAUGAAUGGCUAAUGCUGGACUGUGCCUCUCCAGGACAGUGUUGCAUAGAACUGGUUUUAGUAGACCUUCUUGUUUCAUGUGCAAUAACAAGAAAAAAGCUCGAAGGGAAGGAUUUCUACAUUUCACUAUAAAAUAUUUACUGUGUGCUUGCUUCUUCUUCGCCUUCUGCCAUGAUUGUAACUUUCCUGAGGCCUUCCAGCCAUGUUUCCUAUUCAGCCUACAGAACUGAAGAAAAUGAAGAUAAUAAAACAUGCUGAGAUAAAUCGGAGAAUCUACAUAAAUGGACGGGUGAAGACAAAAAUAUACCAAAAUGGAGUCAAGUAUUAAUAUGUAUGGGAAGUUAGUACAUGGAUCUUCUUUUUGCUCACUAUAUUCUCCCUCCUCCUACUCUGUAUGGACUACUUUUGUAGUGUUUAUACGCUUUGGCUUCAGUCUGCUCUUCAUUUUCUAGUUCCUUAAGGUGGUAAGUUAGAUUAUUGAUUUGUGAUGUUUGUCUUUUUUAAUGUAGGCAUUUGUGAGCUACACAUUUACCUCUGAACACUGCUUUUGCUGUAUUCCGUAAGUUUCUUUAAUGCUAUGUUUUUGUUUACUUUUUUAUCUCUAAAUACCUUCUAAUUUUCCUUGUGGUUUCUUUUCUAGCAUAUUGAUUGUUUCAGAGUGUGUAGUUUAAUUUCUACAUGUUUGUGAACUUUUCGAUUUUCCUUGUUACUGAUGUCUAGUUUCAUCAAGCUAGAACCAUGUUUUAUAUGGUUGCAAUCCUUUUAAACUUACUGAAACUUGUUUUGCAGCCUGACAUAUGGUUUAUCCAGGAGAAUGUUUCAUGUACACUUGUGUAUGUAUUCUGCUAGAAUUAUGUUUUGUGCAUAAAAUAAAGUACAUGGGAUUAUAAAGGAAACUAUGAUAAUAGAAUAGGAAAAUUAUUACAAGGAAAUGUAGUUAUUAAAAUAUUUUAAAAUGUGUGAUAUAGCAAUAUAUGAGCUUUUAAAUUAAAAUUUGAAAUAAGCUACCAUAAUCCCAAAGUAGUAAUGUGCAUAAACAAUAUUUCAAGAUUCCUGUAUAACCUAAGGUGCUAUGAAAAUAUCUAUAAUUUCUGUUGGUGAUAGUCAUAAGUACUACCAAUACUACUGUGGUAUUAUCGGUAUUAACGAAAAUAAAGAUGUCAUUGUUUUCCC